Molecule: ribosomal RNA, 440 nt
Filed under: uncultured bacterium
Lineage: Bacteria
Description: partial 16S ribosomal RNA
Rfam family: Bacterial small subunit ribosomal RNA
Source: RNAcentral
CCUACGGGCGGCAGCAGUAGGGAAUAUUGCUCAAUGGGGGAAACCCUGAAGCAGCAACGCCGCGUGGAGGAUGAAGGUUUUCGGAUUGUAAACUCCUUUUGUUAGAGAAGAUAAUGACGGUAUCUAACGAAUAAGCACCGGCUAACUCCGUGCCAGCAGCCGCGGUAAUACGGAGGGUGCAAGCGUUACUCGGAAUCACUGGGCGUAAAGGGCGCGUAGGCGGGAUAGCAAGUCAGAUGUGAAAUCCUAUGGCUUAACCAUAGAACUGCAUUUGAAACUGUUAUUCUAGAGUAUGGGAGAGGUAGGUGGAAUUCUUGGGGUAGGGGUAAAAUCCGUAGAGAUCAAGAGGAAUACUCAUUGCGAAGGCGACCUGCUAGAACAUAACUGACGCUGAUGCGCGAAAGCGUGGGGAGCAAACAGGAUUAGAUACCCCAGUAGUC